UACGUAGGGGGCAAGCGUUGUCCGGAAUCAUUGGGCGUAAAGAGCGUGUAGGCGGCCCGGUAAGUCCGCUGUAAAAGUCAAAGGCUUAACCUUUGAAUGUCAGUGGAUACUGCCGGGCUAGAGUCCGGAAGAGGCGAGUGGAACUCCUGGUGUAGCGGUGGAAUGCGCAGAUAUCAGGAAGAACACCAACGGCGAAGGCAGCUCGCUAGGACGGUACUGACGCUGAGACGCGAAAGCGUGGGGAGCAAACAGG
RNAcentral lists this ribosomal RNA (253 nucleotides) under uncultured bacterium. RNAcentral describes it as "partial 16S ribosomal RNA". It matches the Rfam family "Bacterial small subunit ribosomal RNA", at positions 524 to 776 of the family's 1533-position model. The record is from RNAcentral.